Long non-coding RNA from Gasterosteus aculeatus aculeatus (three-spined stickleback), 1094 nucleotides. The record is from Ensembl. NCBI's taxonomy places the organism in Eukaryota, Metazoa, Chordata, Actinopteri, Perciformes, Gasterosteidae.
GUGUGAGCUGCGUGUGCGCGUCUGACGCUCACGACCAGCGGGUCACAUGGUGUCAUGCACAGCCACCGCGCUGACGUCACAAUGGAAUCUCAGCGACGCGCUGAGGAAGAACAAGGGAAACUGCGUGCGCGCAGCCGGGUGAAGUGCGGCGCAUUUCUCCGGUAAACGACGAGUGGGGCCGCGUGCACACGGAGUUCACCGUCUCUGAUGGGGAAAUACGUCGUGCCGACGUCACCGGCCACAACAUUGCCCGACCACAUCUGCCCCCCCCGCCAUCACCUCUGUUCUCGCUGAGAACGGCGCGCUGCGUCCUGGUGGUCUUUGGCGCCCCCUGCCGGACUACCGGAGGAGGACCACGCUCGGAGAACAAUGGCACACAGGCACUAGAGAACACUGUUGUGUUUUGUUUUUUUACUCAUUUAAAACACAGCUAGACAUGCACAUGUGUCCAUGAGUGCAUUGGCGCUUUCCCUCAGUGGUGGUUAAGUCUCCACGCGAGCAGCCACGGAUCCUCCCCCCAAAGAAACAUCUGGCCGGUGUAAAGCAAGUGUGUUUGAAACGCAGGCCAGUAAACCUCCCCUAAUAACAACGCACAGUUCACCGUCAAAGGGAGCAUUGCAUAUCCCCUUUCAUCCGCGCAGGGCCUUUGAGACGGAGACGGGAGAGGGGUUUGAAGGGAGGGGAGCGGAUUGGAGUCGGCUCGUUUUUGCCCCAGGGGUGUGCGCUGCUGCUGCUGCUGCUGCUCUCGUCUUUGUCUGAAGACUGAUUAACAGAAAGAAGGACAGUGACUGUGAAUUGUGUGUUCUGUAUAAAGCUGCCAUUGUCUGCAACCUGUACUGCAUUUUAUGUGUGAAACAGAGGGAACUCCAGAUAAAAGGUGCCUUCAGAUUGUUGCAUUUUUAUUCUCACUCAAAUGUAAAAACACUAUUUUUGGAGUAGAGGCCCUGCAGAGCUAAAUACAAUGCAUGUAGGUCACACAAGUAAGAUUAGUCAUAUGCACAAAGGCCACUUGGUGUAAUGUUGUAGCUGAUUGUGGUGGAAUUAGCCCUCAUGAUUUGACAUUUAUUGGGGUUUACUAAAUAGCAUCAUGUUAC